ACUUGAUUUUCAGUUUUCGAACUCAGGUGUUUGUCUUCCUUGAGCUAGAAAACUUGAAAAAGGGAACCCCACAAUGAGAGGAAGUUUAGCUGGUGGACCACCUAGUCCUAUUGAACCUAGACAGAGGCUUUCUGUAUUCACCGAGGAAACAAGCAAAAGAAGGUUCUUGAGAAGUAAAGUUUUCAGAGAUGGGGAGAGAGCUCUUCAUAGUCCCACCAAAAACAGGAAUUUUACCUGCAAGUUCCCAACUAUAAAGCUCAUAUUGGGUUUUAUUGCUCUGGUUGCAAUUUGGUCACUUUGGCAUUCUCCAGCAAUUUAUAACACGGAAUACAUAUCUCGUUCAGGCUCGCGGGCUGCUUUGGUGCACAGAGAGUUAAGCGAUCAUCCUUCAGCUGAUCAACGUUAUACAUCACUUUUAGAUAUUGACUGGGACCAAAUUUCCCAAGUUAUUGAGAAACUGGCCGAUAGGCAUGAGUAUCAGGGCAUCGGGAUAUUAAACUUCAAUGACAGUGAAAUUGAUCAGUUGAAGGAGUUAUUACCGGACGCUGAGCAUGUGAUCUUGAACCUGGAUCACGUCCCAAAUAAUAUAACAUGGGAAACAUUAUAUCCUGAAUGGAUAGAUGAAGAAGAA
RNAcentral lists this unclassified non-coding RNA (631 nucleotides) under Hevea brasiliensis (rubber tree). The record is from RNAcentral. Lineage: Eukaryota; Viridiplantae; Streptophyta; Magnoliopsida; Malpighiales; Euphorbiaceae.